GGGGAAUCUUAGACAAUGGGCGCAAGCCUGAUCUAGCCAUGCCGCGUGAGUGAUGAAGGCCUUAGGGUUGUAAAGCUCUUUCGUGGGGGAAGAUAAUGACUGUACCCCAAGAAGAAGCCCCGGCUAACUCCGUGCCAGCAGCCGCGGUAAUACGGAGGGGGCUAGCGUUGUUCGUAAUUACUGGGCGUAAAGCGCACGUAGGCGGACCGGAAAGUCAGAGGUGAAAUCCCAGGGCUCAACCUUGGAACUGCCUUUGAAACUCCCGGUCUUGAGUUCGAGAGAGGUGAGUGGAAUUCCGAGUGUAGAGGUGAAAUUCGUAGAUAUUCGGAGGAACACCAGUGGCGAAGGCGGCUCACUGGCUCGAUACUGACGCUGAGGGGCGAAAGCGUGGGGAGCAAAC
This 400-nucleotide ribosomal RNA is filed under the name uncultured bacterium. RNAcentral describes it as "bacterial SSU rRNA". It matches the Rfam family "Bacterial small subunit ribosomal RNA", at positions 356 to 773 of the family's 1533-position model. The record is from RNAcentral.